AAACAGAUAAACAUAAACAACAGCUUGGAAAUGGGUAUCUCACACAAUACAAAUUUGGUUACUUCAUGGUCCCAGAACUAAAAUUUGGGAGUUUAAUAUGAAAAUUUGUUUUUAUUUUUACUUAAUUAGUUCUGAUUAGAGUUUAAAAAUUUUCGGUACUACUAAGCUAAAUCUCAUCGAUAAAAAGGUUCACUUUCUACCCAAGGAGCUUCCAUCAGUCGCAAAAAAAAAAGAGGUGGAGUUAGUCCUCAGUCUUAAUCAGAAGGGAAUCUGGUCAGAUUUUUCUUGGCAGUGACUUGUCUUUUUCUUCCGAAGGCAAGAGAUGAGACAAAACUAUGUCUGCUCUAUCCACUCGUCAUUGUCUUAAUUUAGACUUAGCAUUGCUUAAUACGGAGGAGUUGAACUACAAAAAUCAGUGAUGGCUGUUUGCAACCAGGAGGCUAAUUUUUCCUGUGAUGCUGUAGGAAGAGGUUCAUUCUCCUUCCUAGCAGUACUCUGCGGUCAAUAAGCUUUACAAAGGUCGCUUAAGUCAGAAAAGGCAAUGUCUGAACGACGGCCCUGGGCUGAAUGCGACAAUGAGUAACACACAUAAUAGUCUUUUUUGGCAGUUAAAAAAAAAAGAGCAUUUCUAAAGUUUCAGCAGUAGCACAUAUAUUGGCAAGAGUGCAGAAGCACUAUCCUUUGUAUUUUUUGGUUAAUAUAGUGGAAUCAGUAGUACAUCUUAUAUCCUGCUAUGAGCUACCAAUAAUGAAAGAUCAACUGUUAUUAAUUUACUAAAUUUUUUGUCUUCACAUUGUUUUUAAUGAGAAUAUGCUUUUAGAAUCCUUAGUUCUGCAUAUGUGCACAGAUGUUAGCUAGGUUCCCAUAAAAGAUUACUUAUGUGAGUAAACUUUUAUAACGGGCAUAUAAUAGGUACCUGCACCCUACAUGCUAUACAGCACACAGUAGACAUUAACAAUUGAAACUGACAGCACACAGUAGACAUUAACAAUUGAAACUGUGUGCUUUCUCCUCAUAUAAAUAGAGAGAUUUGUGUAAGCUUGGAACUACCAAAUAUAGCACUAGUCAGCUUUCACUUAUUUAGUCAUCUCCAAAUUCUUCUACUGCCAUGGCUCCAGUACCCACUUCUCCAAUCAAGGUUGGUCAUAUAGAUGAUGUUCAGGAACUGAGAAAGGCUAAGCCAACAACAAUCCCUGAAAGAUUUGUCAGGGACAUGACUGAAAGGCCAACACUAGCCAUAACUCUACCUUCUCUGAGUGAAAUACCUUCCAUUAAUUUCUCAAGCCUUGUGAAUGGCAAUAAAGAUGAUUGCCAAAAUGAAAUCUUGCAGCUUGCCAGAGCCUGUGAGGACUGGGGAUUUUUUCAGGUGAUUAAUCAUGGAAUUGAUCUGAGUUUGCUUGAGAGCAUAGAGGAGUUGGCCAAGAAUUUUUUCAUGUUGCCUUUAGAGGAAAAGCAGAAGUAUCCAAUGGCACCAGGAACUGUUCAGGGUUAUGGACAAGCUUUUGUGUUCUCUGAGGACCAAAAGCUGGACUGGUGCAACAUGUUUGCUCUUGGGAUUGAGCCCCACUAUAUAAGGAACCCAAAACUAUGGCCAAUACAGCCACCAAAGUUCUGUGAAACAGUAGAGGUUUAUUCAAGAGAAGUCAGGAAGUUGUGCCAGAAUCUAUUGAAGUACAUAGCUAUAACCCUUGGCUUGAAAGCAGAUAUUUUUGAAGAAAUGUUUGGGGUAGCUGUGCAAGCCAUAAGGAUGAACUACUAUCCACCUUGUUCUAGACCUGACCUUGUUUUAGGCCUAAGCCCACAUUCAGAUGGCAGUGCCCUAACCGUGCUGCAGCAAGGAAAGGGUAGCUCAGUAGGACUCCAAAUAUUUAAAGAUAACAAGUGGGUGCCUGUUCAGCCCAUUCCAAAUGCAUUAGUAAUCAACAUUGGUGACACUUUAGAAGUUCUGACAAAUGGAAAAUACAAGAGUGUUGAACACAGGGCAGUGACUCAUAAGGAAAAAGACCGUCUCUCUAUUGUCAACUUCUAUGCCCCAAGCUAUGAAAUAGAGCUUGGACCCAUGCCAGAACUCGUGGAUGAGAACAACCCAUGCAAGUAUAGGAGAUACACUCAUGGAGAAUACAACAAACACUACGUAACUAAUAAGUUACAAGGGAAGAAAACCCUGGAAUUCGCCAAGAUUAAAAGCAAGACAUCUACAGAAUAGUUACUAAAAUUUGUUUAUACUGGAGCUAAUGUUUCACUUCAUGUCAUCUGUGUAGAGUAUAAGUCCAAAUUACAAGUUGGGUGUUAUAUAUAUGUCAAAAUGAGUGGGAAUCAAUGAUGGUCUGCACUAUUCGUGUGUUAACUCAUAUUUGUAAUAGACUAGCAAUUAGUUGAAGCCUGUGGGGUCUUGUGCUCAUAAGCAUUUCUUGUCAAAUGUGUUUGGUUGUGAGGACUUUUUGAAUAAGCAUCUAUAAAUAUAGAAGAAAACAAGAAUCAAAACAGGAGUAUAUGCCACUUUUACUGUUUCUUUUGUAUCAGAUUCUUAAUAGGGAAAGAAACUGGCAAUCAUGUGGGGUACCCAUAACACCACCACCCAAUGUUUAUGAAAGAAUGAAAUGGAAAAUGGACAAAAUCACUGGUCUUCCAUUGUUCAAGCGAAAAGAGAGCUUUUUCUCAGUGGUAGGAGAGAGGAGAGCCCACAUAUUGUAAGUUGUUCAUAUUAUUAGAGUGAAGGAAGCACUAGGCAAAGAACUUGCGAUUGUUUUUU
Molecule: unclassified non-coding RNA, 2752 nt
Filed under: Hevea brasiliensis (rubber tree)
Lineage: Eukaryota; Viridiplantae; Streptophyta; Magnoliopsida; Malpighiales; Euphorbiaceae
Source: RNAcentral